Molecule: ribosomal RNA, 253 nt
Filed under: uncultured bacterium
Lineage: Bacteria
Description: partial 16S ribosomal RNA
Rfam family: Bacterial small subunit ribosomal RNA
Source: RNAcentral
UACGUAGGGGGCUAGCGUUGUCCGGAAUCAUUGGGCGUAAAGCGCGUGUAGGCGGUUCGGUAAGUCCGCUGUGAAAGUCGGGGGCUCAACCCUCGGAUGCCGGUGGAUACUGUCGGGCUUGAGUACGGAAGAGGCGAGUGGAAUUCCUGGUGUAGCGGUGGAAUGCGCAGAUAUCAGGAGGAACACCAAUAGCGAAGGCAGCUCGCUGGGACGUUACUGACACUGAGGCGCGAAAGCGUGGGGAGCGAACAGG